Molecule: ribosomal RNA, 443 nt
Filed under: uncultured bacterium
Lineage: Bacteria
Description: partial 16S ribosomal RNA
Rfam family: Bacterial small subunit ribosomal RNA
Source: RNAcentral
CCUACGGGAGGCAGCAGUGGGGAAUAUUGGGCAAUGGGCGCAAGCCUGACCCAGCAACGCCGCGUGAAGGAAGAAGGCUUUAGGGUUGUAAACUUCUUUUCUCAGGGACGAAGAAAGUGACGGUACCUGAGGAAUAAGCCACGGCUAACUACGUGCAAGCAGCCGCGGUAAUACGUAGGUCGCAAGCGUUAUCCGGAUUUAUUGGGUGUACAGGGCGUGUAGGCGGGAGCGCAAGUCAGAUGUGAAAACUCAGGGCUCAACCCUGAGCCUGCAUUUGAUACUGUGUUUCUUGAGUGCUGGUGAGGCAAUCGGAAUUCCGUGUGUAGCGGUGAAAUGCGUAGAUAUACGGAGGAACACCAGUGGCGAAGGCGGAUUGCUGGACAGUAACUGACGCUGAUGCGCGAAAGCGUGGGUAGCAAACAGGAUUAGAUACCCGGGUAGUC